AGUUAGAUACUUAGGAUCCUGCCAAGUAACUUUUUUUGAAGCCUAAUACAAAUUCAUUUAUUUUGCUUUCAACCAAAAACAAUAUGGAAUCUUUUAAAAAUUGCCUUAAAUAUUGUGCUCUUUAUACACAAUGACAUAUUAUAACUAGAAUUUUUCUUGGUUCUGGUACUUGAAUAAAAGUCUUGUUUUUCUUUUCCUCUGUUCUAUUCUUUUGCUUCUGCUAGUGAUCGUAAGCCAGUUGCUCAAAGACCAGUGUGGAAAAGGCUUAAGAAGGAAGAGCACCAGAGGGAAAUUACCAUCUGGAGACAAAAUGACACUGGGAACUUGGAGGAAAACGUUCAGGCACACCGUAUGAGGAAGCAGAACACUGGUUGUAGGUUGUGUGUUGAUGGCUUUCUAUGAGUAAAUGCCCUGAAAAUGUAUGUGACUAAGCACCAUAAUGUGGAUUUCUGAAAGCUGAAUGACUUAAAGAAAAAUCUUCUUAUUUCUAAAAAAAUCAACAAGUGGUUUCUUUUAGCAAGUUCUUAAAUUUCUGUAAGGCAUGAAUGAUCUAUUAUGUAAGGAAAGUGUUUCAAUACAGGUAUUCUGUCCUUAAGUGUCAUGGAAACCAAACGUCCUAUAAUGCAAAGCUCUGCUGCGUGCAGAUCUGUCCUUCUUUCACUACUCUCUUC
This 671-nucleotide long non-coding RNA is filed under the name Homo sapiens (human). RNAcentral describes it as "HSALNT0076929". The record is from RNAcentral. Lineage: Eukaryota; Metazoa; Chordata; Mammalia; Primates; Hominidae.